RNAcentral lists this ribosomal RNA (720 nucleotides) under gamma proteobacterium PM28. Its description in RNAcentral is "bacterial SSU rRNA". It matches the Rfam family "Bacterial small subunit ribosomal RNA", at positions 75 to 785 of the family's 1533-position model. Lineage: Bacteria; Pseudomonadati; Pseudomonadota; Gammaproteobacteria. The record is from RNAcentral.
GUAGCUUGCUACUCUGGCGUCGAGCGGCGGACGGGUGAGUAAUGCUUGGGGAUCUGCCCGGUAGCGGGGGACAACAGUUGGAAACGACUGCUAAUACCGCAUACGCCCUACGGGGGAAAGCAGGGGAUUCUUCGGAACCUUGCGCUAUCGGAUGAACCCAAGUGAGAUUAGCUUGUUGGUGAGGUAAUGGCUCACCAAGGCGACGAUCUCUAGCUGGUUUGAGAGGAUGAUCAGCCACACUGGGACUGAGACACGGCCCAGACUCCUACGGGAGGCAGCAGUGGGGAAUAUUGCACAAUGGGCGAAAGCCUGAUGCAGCCAUGCCGCGUGUGUGAAGAAGGCCUUCGGGUUGUAAAGCACUUUCAGCGAGGAGGAAAGGUCAACGGUUAAUACCCGUUGGCUGUGACGUUACUCGCAGAAGAAGCACCGGCUAACUUCGUGCCAGCAGCCGCGGUAAUACGAGGGGUGCAAGCGUUAAUCGGAAUUACUGGGCGUAAAGCGCAUGCAGGUGGUCUGGUCAGUCAGAUGUGAAAGCCCCGGGCUCAACCUGGGAAUUGCAUUUGAUACUGCCAGACUAGAGUCUUGUAGAGGGGGGUAGAAUUUCAGGUGUAGCGGUGAAAUGCGUAGAGAUCUGAAGGAAUACCAGUGGCGAAGGCGGCCCCCUGGACAAAGACUGACACUCAGAUGCGAAAGCGUGGGGAGCAAACAGCGACUAGAUAC